UAUCAAGCUACUCAAGGGCUUAUGGUGGAUGACUUGGCUGAUAGAGGCGAUGAAGGGCGUGGCAAGCUGCGAUAAUCUGCAGGGAGGUGCAAGCAACCUGUGAUCUGCAGAUUCCCGAAUGAGGAAACUCUCGCAGGAUAAUGCCUGCGAAUCCUUCACUUAGUGAAGGAGGCAAACCCGAGGAAGUAAAACAUUUCAGUACUCGGAGGAAAAGAAACCGAAUGGUAUUCCCCCAGUAGCGGCGAGCGAAAAGGGAAGAGCCUAAACCUGAUAAAUGCUAAAACCUGCUGGUGUUGUUUAUCAGGGGUUAAGGGGUAUUGCGCAAAAGCACAGCAGUGCUUUUAAAAAGUUACAAAUCUAAUUUAUAGCAGAAUCUGUUGAAAAGCAGAACCAUAGAAGGUGAUAGUCCUGUAUGCGAAAUAAAUUAGACUUUUAGCAAUAUUCCCAAGUAUCACGGAGCACGGGAAACUCUGUGAGAAUUUGGGUCGACCAUGACCUAAGGCUAAAUACUCCUAUCAGACCGAUAGUGAACAAAGUACCGUGAGGGAAAGUUGAAAAGAACCCCUGUUAGGGGAGUGAAAUAGAACCUGAAACCAUAAGUCUACACAGCGGUCAGACCUUAUAUCUUAAUGAUAUAAGGGAUGGCGUACCUUUUGCUUAAUGGUCCAGGGAGUUAUUAUCUAUCGCAAGUCUAAUCCGUUUAAGCGGAGUAGGCGUAGCGAAAGCGAGUCCGAAUAGGGCGAUAAAGUGGUAGAUAAUAGACCCGAAGCCAGUCGAUCUAUCCAUAACCAGGGUGAACAUCACAGAAAUGUGGUGGGAGGCCCGAACCGGUGGUUGUUGAAAAAACCUCGGAUGAGUUGUGGAUUGGAGUGAAAGGCUAAUCAAGGCUGGUGAUAGCUGGUUCUCCCCGAAACGACUUUAGGGUCGGCCUUUAGGAAUUAGUUUAAGAGGGUAGAGCACAGGAUGGGCUAGGGUGGACUGUGUCCAUACCAACCCCAACCUAACUCCUAAUAUCUUAAACUGUACCUAAGGAGAAAGACUGUGAGGGCUAAGCUUCAUAGUCAAAAGGGAAACAGCCCAGACCGCCAGUUAAGGUCCCAAAACACAGGCUAAGUGGAAAAGGAUGUGAAACCGCUAAGACAGCCGGGAUGUUGGCUUGGAGGCAGCCAUCAUUUAAAGAGUGCGUAACAGCUCACCGGUCGAGCGGUUUUGCGCCGAAAAUGAACGGGGCUUAAGCCUGUUACCGAAACUGCGGAUUUAUCUUGAUUAUUCAAGAUAAAUGGUAGGGGAGCAUUCUAUACGCACUGAAGGUUUAUCGUAAGGUAAGCUGGAGUGUGUAGAAGAGAGUAUCUUGGAAUGAGUAGCGAAAAGACCGGUGAAAAACCGGUCCGCCGAAAACCUUAAGGUUUCUCCGUCAAUGUUAGUCAGACGGAGGUUAGGCGGUCCCUAAGCUAAACCCUGAUUUAACAGGGGUAGGUGAUGGGAAGCGGCGUUAAUAUUCGCCCCCCACUCAUAUACGUUAACUUAAGAAAUGACGCACAAGGUGCGUUGGUCGGACGGUUGGAUGUGUCCGUGUUUUGAAGGUAACUUCAAAACGGAGCCCAAGCUACGGCAAGGGUAAACCCAACAGGACUAAGUGCCAAGAAAUAAUUUCUUAAGUUGUUUAUGAGUGACCGUACCGUAAACCAACACAGGUAGGUUUCCAGAAUAUGGUAAGGCGUUCGGGAUAACUCUCGCUAAGGAACUCGGCAAUCUAGCCCCGUACGUUCGCAAGAAGGGGUGCCUUUGGUAGCAAUAUCAAAGGUCGCAGUGAAAUGGCUGUCGGGACUGUUUAGCAAAAACACAUGUCCCUGCUAAACUCAAAAAGAGGAUGUAUAGGGACUGAGACCUGCCCAGUGCCGGAAGGUUAAGAGGAGAGGUUAUCUGUCGCAAGACAGAGAAGCUUCGAUCCAAAGCCCCGGUAAACGGCGGCCGUAACUAUAACGGUCCUAAGGUAGCGAAAUUCCUAGUCGGGUAAGUUCCGACCCGCACGAAAGGUAUAACUACGGCAGCGCUGUCUCAGCGAGGGUCCCGGCGAAGUUGUAGUGGUGGUGAAGAUGCCACCUACCCGCAGUCGGACGAAAAGACCCCGGAACCUUUACUGUAAGCUGGUAUUGAAUUUUGGGGUAGUAUGUGUAGAAUAGGUGGGAGGCUAUGAAGCCCUGGCGCUAGUUAGGGCAGAGCCGACAGUGAAAUACCACUCUUACUAUUCUAAGGUUCUAAUCCUGCCUUCGGCAGGAGACAAUGCCAGUUGGGCAGUUUAACUGGGGCGGUUCCCUCUUAAAAAGUAACAGAGGGGCCCAAAGGUACCCUCAGUCCGUAUAGAAAUCGGAUGUUGAGUGUAAAGGCAUAAGGGUGCCUGACUGUGAGGUAGACAUACCGAGCAGACACGAAAGUGGGGCUUAAUGAUCCGGUGAUGGCUUAUGGAAGCGUCAUCGCUCAACGGAUAAAAGGUACUCCGGGGAUAACAGGCUUAUCGGGCCCGAGAGUUCACAUCGACGGCCCGGUUUGGCACCUCGAUGUCGGCUCAUCCCAUCCUGGGGGUGGAGAAGCUCCCAAGGGUCCUGCUGUUCGCAGGUUAAAGGGGUACGUGAGCUGGGUUCAGAACGUCGUGAGACAGUUCGGUCUCUAUCCACUGUGGGUGCGAGGAUUCCUGAAGGGGAGCUGUCCUUAGUACGAGAGGACCAGGACAGAGGAACCUCUGGCGUACCAGCUAUUCCGCCAGGAGUAAAGGCUGGGUAACUAUGUUCCUUUAAGAUAAGCACUGAAGGCAUAUAAGUGCGAAGCUGACCCCAAAACUAGGAAUCCCUUCCGCUUUUAGCGGAUGAAGGCUCGUAGGAGACUACUACGUAUAUAGGGCAUAGGUGUAAGUUCUGUGAGGGAUUUAGCCGAAUGCUCCUAAUAAGCCGAUCGACUUGAUACC
Molecule: ribosomal RNA, 2962 nt
Filed under: Candidatus Omnitrophota bacterium
Lineage: Bacteria; Pseudomonadati; Candidatus Omnitrophota
Description: 23S ribosomal RNA
Rfam family: Bacterial large subunit ribosomal RNA
Source: RNAcentral